Molecule: long non-coding RNA, 331 nt
Filed under: Androctonus crassicauda
Lineage: Eukaryota; Metazoa; Arthropoda; Arachnida; Scorpiones; Buthidae
Source: RNAcentral
GAAACUUCUACGGGAGUUUUCUCUUAAAACAAAUGCCUCUAACUCGUCAUCUAAAAUUGUCGGACAAAGUCCGAGAAAUAUACUGCGUCUACGGACGCUCGAGAAACUUCUACGGGAGUUUUCUCUUAAAACAAAUGACUCUAACUCGUCAUCUAAAAUUGUCGGACAAAGUCCGAGAAAUAUACGGCGUCUACGGACGCUCGAGAAACUUCUACGGGAGUUUUCUCUUAAAACAAAUGACUCUAACUCGUCAUCUAAAAUUGUCGUACAAAGUCCGAAAUAAUAACAAAUUCCUCGGCAUCUAUGAUGUCGGACAAAGUCCGAGAGACCA